This 482-nucleotide ribosomal RNA is filed under the name uncultured bacterium. RNAcentral's name for it is "partial 16S ribosomal RNA". It matches the Rfam family "Bacterial small subunit ribosomal RNA", at positions 28 to 523 of the family's 1533-position model. The record is from RNAcentral.
GACGAACGCUGGAGGCGUGCUUAACACAUGCAAGUCGAACGAUGAAAUGGAGCUUGCUCCAUGGAUUAGUAGCGAACGGGUGAGUAACACGUGAAUAACCUGCCCUUAAUUUUGGAAUAACCCAAGGAAACCUGGGCUAAUACCGGAUAAGUAAACCUGUGGCAUCACAUGGUUUUGGAAAGUUUUUCGAUCAAGGAUGGAUUCGCGGCCUAUCAGCUUGUUGGUGAGGUAAUGGCUCACCAAGGCGACGACGGGUAGCCGGCCUGAGAGGGUGAACGGCCACACUGGGACUGAGACACGGCCCAGACUCCUACGGGAGGCAGCAGUGGGGAAUAUUGCGCAAUGGACGAAAGUCUGACGCAGCGACGCCUCGUGAGGGACGAAGGUCUUCGGAUUGUAGACCUCUUUCAGCAGGGACGAAGCGAAAGUGACGGUACCUGCAGAAGAAGCACCGGCUAACUAUGUGCCAGCCGCCGCCGUAA